This 221-nucleotide small nucleolar RNA is filed under the name Hordeum vulgare subsp. vulgare (domesticated barley). RNAcentral's name for it is "Plant small nucleolar RNA U3". It matches the Rfam family "Plant small nucleolar RNA U3". From Rfam's summary of the family: Small nucleolar RNAs (snoRNAs) are involved in the processing and modification of rRNA in the nucleolus. There are two main classes of snoRNAs: the box C/D class, and the box H/ACA class. Lineage: Eukaryota; Viridiplantae; Streptophyta; Magnoliopsida; Poales; Poaceae. The record is from Rfam by way of RNAcentral.
ACGACCUUACUUGAACAGGAUCUGUUCUAUAGGCUCGUACCGCUGCAUCCUUUACCAAUAAGGAGGCAAGCACUUCAGUCUGGUUGAUGCAUUCUCACCUCUAGGCCAGAGCGUGAUUAACUGCCAGCAUUCACCUGAUGGGUGUCAUCUGACGGCUGUAGAGGAUCGUUCCUGUCCAGCUCACACUGGUGCAGGGUGGCCCAGAGGUUGUCUGACAGACU